GGGGUAACCUGCCUGUAAGACUGGGAUAACUCCGGCGAAACCGGAGCUAAUACCGGAUAGUUCCUUGAACCGCAUGGUUCAAGGAUGAAAGACGGUUUCGGCUGUCACUUACAGAUGGACCCGCGGCGCAUUAGCUAGUUGGUGGGGUAAUGGCUCACCAAGGCGACGAUGCGUAGCCGACCUGAGAGGGUGAUCGGCCACACUGGGACUGAGACACGGCCCAGACUCCUACGGGAGGCAGCAGUAGGGAAUCUUCCGCAAUGGACGAAAGUCUGACGGAGCAACGCCGCGUGAGUGAUGAAGGUUUUCGGAUCGUAAAGCUCUGUUGUUAGGGAAGAACAAGUGCGAGAGUAACUGCUCGCACCUUGACGGUACCUAACCAGAAAGCCACGGCUAACUACGUGCCAGCAGCCGCGGUAAUACGUAGGUGGCAAGCGUUGUCCGGAAUUAUUGGGCGUAAAGGGCUCGCAGGCGGUUUCUUAAGUCUGAUGUGAAAGCCCCCGGCUCAACCGGGGAGGGUCAUUGGAAACUGGGAAACUUGAGUGCAGAAGAGGAGAGUGGAAUUCCACGUGUAGCGGUGAAAUGCGUAGAGAUGUGGAGGAACACCAGUGGCGAAGGCGACUCUCUGGUCUGUAACUGACCGCUGAGGGAGCGAAAGCGUUGGGGAGCGAACAGGGAUUAGAUACCCCUGCGUAGUCCCACGCCGUAAACGAUGAGUGGCUAAGUGUUAGGGGGGUUUUCCGGCCCCUUAGUGGCUGGCAGGCUAACCGCAUUAAAGCACUCCGCCU
Molecule: ribosomal RNA, 788 nt
Filed under: Bacillus sp. (in: firmicutes)
Lineage: Bacteria; Bacillati; Bacillota; Bacilli; Caryophanales; Bacillaceae
Description: bacterial SSU rRNA
Rfam family: Bacterial small subunit ribosomal RNA
Source: RNAcentral